Molecule: long non-coding RNA, 728 nt
Filed under: Marmota monax (woodchuck)
Lineage: Eukaryota; Metazoa; Chordata; Mammalia; Rodentia; Sciuridae
Source: RNAcentral
CUGAAAUUUUGCUUACCUUUCCAGUUAAUUAUAUUUUCUUAUUCUGUGAAUCCCUUCCAACAAGAAAAAUUUGCUUUUAUUUUUAUGACUUGUAUUACACAUAGUCUUUUUUUUUAAAGGAGAGAGAGAGAGAGAAUCUUUUUUGUAGAUGGAUACAGCACAAUGCCUUUAUUUUUAUGUGGUGCUGAGAAUCGAACUCGGGUCCUGCCCAUGCUAAGUGAACGUUCUACCACUGAGCCACAAUCCCAGCCCGUAGUCUUUUUAUUUUAUUUUCCCCUUGCUUUAUCUCUCUUAUUAGAAGAUAGAAAGUGUUAUGCAAUUAAAAAUUUUUAUUCCCCCACAUUCCUAACUGCACUGGAGAUGCCGAUAAACUCUUUACUCAGUGUGAUCAAAUGAAUUCUCCUCCUUCAUAGGACACACACAGCCACUAGAAAUCAACUUGCAUGUCUGGCUCAUUUUCUUCAGUGCACAUCAUUCUCAAAGGGCAAACCUGUCUCCUUUUUAUCUCUAGUAUUCUUUUAAUGUUCCACCUUAACUGUUUUUCAGUGAGGAUUAGAAUCAGUUCUUUGUUGUAAUUUAUCUAUUCAUUUGUCCUUUCAUUGAGCACAAACUCUGUUCUUGGUCCUAUGCUAGGUGAUAAAAACACAAGGAUGAGGGAUAUGUCCUGUCUCCAAAUAGCUCAGAGUAUUGUAGAAAAUAACAAUAUGCAGAAAAAAUAUUGUAAUAAG